CAGGGAGACAAACAUAGAUCAUGAUGUCUAAUUAAAUUAUUUUUAGGCCAUGAUCCUGUCACCUUAGGUCGAUCGGUACCUCAGAAUUAAUAACCAAAGUAGAGCAUAUUUAAUUUGCUUUUAUAUUGGUAAUUGUUUUUAGUUCCUAAACUUGUCUAGGUCACACCCAACAAGGGUUACUCCUGGGCCAUUAGCUCAGGUGGUUAGAGCGCACCCCUGAUAAGGGUGAGGUCCCUGGUUCAAGUCCAGGAUGGCCCAUUCGGUGUUGGGGGUUUAGCUCAGUUGGUAGAGCGCCUGCUUUGCAAGCAGGAUGUCAGCGGUUCGAGUCCGCUAACCUCCACUGACUGAAAAUCCUUAGCAACCGAAAAAGUUGAGGACCUUUGUUUAAUGUGAUUUGGACUUUAUUUAAGCUGAAGGAACCUAGCUUCCUAUCAUUCCAAACCUAAAUUGUUUUCUUUUUAGAGAUGGUUGGCAGGACGCUGGGCUCACUGUUUUUCGAAAGGAUAGCAGCGUGUUCAGUAGAACCUUGAAAACUGCAUAGGUGAGUCUGGAAAGAAUAAAGCAUCUCAUGGAUGUACUUUGUCUUUUGAUUAAUUCAAUCUAUCUAUCAAUAAAGAUGGUUUGAAGCAUCGAAAAGAUUAGUACCUAAUUCUUGAGUUAAGAGCUGAGACUCUUUAAUGUUUUGCUGUAUAAAUACAGUAAUUGUUUUUUUGUUUUCAAUCUAGAUCUGUCGAUAAUUAUCUAUUUAAUUUAGAAGUUGUCGAUGAUGAUUGAGAUUGUUUAUUGGCAAUUUUAGCCCUUUAAAACAACAUUAUUGAGGUUAAUU
Molecule: transfer RNA, 826 nt
Filed under: uncultured cyanobacterium
Lineage: Bacteria; Bacillati; Cyanobacteriota
Description: partial miscellaneous RNA
Rfam family: tRNA (bases 268-340)
Source: RNAcentral